RNAcentral lists this ribosomal RNA (693 nucleotides) under uncultured bacterium. RNAcentral describes it as "bacterial SSU rRNA". It matches the Rfam family "Bacterial small subunit ribosomal RNA", at positions 32 to 715 of the family's 1533-position model. The record is from RNAcentral.
AACGCUAGCUACAGGCUUAACACAUGCAAGUCGAGGGGCAGCAUGAACUUAGCUUGCUAAGUUUGAUGGCGACCGGCGCACGGGUGAGUAACACGUAUCCAACCUGCCGAUGACUCGGGGAUAGCCUUUCGAAAGAAAGAUUAAUACCCGAUGGCAUAGUUCUUCCGCAUGGUAGAACUAUUAAAGAAUUUCGGUCAUCGAUGGGGAUGCGUUCCAUUAGGUUGUUGGCGGGGUAACGGCCCACCAAGCCUUCGAUGGAUAGGGGUUCUGAGAGGAAGGUCCCCCACAUUGGAACUGAGACACGGUCCAAACUCCUACGGGAGGCAGCAGUGAGGAAUAUUGGUCAAUGGACGAGAGUCUGAACCAGCCAAGUAGCGUGAAGGAUGACUGCCCUAUGGGUUGUAAACUUCUUUUAUACGGGAAUAAAGUGAGGCACGUGUGCCUUUUUGUAUGUACCGUAUGAAUAAGGAUCGGCUAACUCCGUGCCAGCAGCCGCGGUAAUACGGAGGAUCCGAGCGUUAUCCGGAUUUAUUGGGUUUAAAGGGAGCGUAGGCGGACGCUUAAGUCAGUUGUGAAAGUUUGCGGCUCAACCGUAAAAUUGCAGUUGAUACUGGGUGUCUUGAGUACAGUAGAGGCAGGCGGAAUUCGUGGUGUAGCGGUGAAAUACUUAGAUAUCACGAAGAACUCCGAUUG